This 458-nucleotide ribosomal RNA is filed under the name uncultured bacterium. RNAcentral's name for it is "partial 16S ribosomal RNA". It matches the Rfam family "Bacterial small subunit ribosomal RNA", at positions 28 to 523 of the family's 1533-position model. The record is from RNAcentral.
GAUGAACGCUGGCGGCGUGCCUAGUACAUGCAAGUCGAGCGGAAAGGCCCUUCGGGGUACUCGAGCGGCGGACGGGUGAGUAACGCGUAAGAAUGUACCCCAAAGUGAGGAAUAACUGCUCGAAAGAGUAGCUAAUGCCGCAUGUGCUCUUCGGAGGAAAGCUUUAUGCGCUUUGGGAACAGCUUGCGUCUGAUUAGCUAGUUGGUAAGGUAGCGGCUUACCAAGGCGACGAUCAGUAGCUGGUCUGAGAGGAUGAUCAGCCACACUGGGACUGAGACACGGCCCAGACUCCUACGGGAGGCAGCAGUAGGGAAUUUUCCACAAUGGACGAGAGUCUGAUGGAGCAACGCCGCGUGCUGGAUGAAGGCCUUCGGGUCGUAAACAGCUUUUGUCUGUGACGAAUAUGACGGUAGCAGACGAAUAAGGAUCGGCUAACUACGUGCCAGCAGCCGCGGUAA